GAUGGACCAGAAGUCAUAAAACUUCUAAAAGAAUUUGAAUCCGCAUCUUGGUGCAAAGGAAAACAAUUCUGGCCAGAACUUAUUGGUGUUCCAGCAAAGCUUGCUAAGGAAAUAAUUGAGAAGGAAAAUCCAUCCAUAUCUGAUAUUCCAAUAUUAUUGAAUGGUUCUCCAGUCACAAUGGAUUUUCGAUGUGAUCGAGUUCGUCUUUUUGAUAACAUUUUGGGUUAUGUUGUACAAAUU
This 240-nucleotide unclassified non-coding RNA is filed under the name Hevea brasiliensis (rubber tree). The record is from RNAcentral. Lineage: Eukaryota; Viridiplantae; Streptophyta; Magnoliopsida; Malpighiales; Euphorbiaceae.